CGGAAGGGUGAGGAACGCGUGAGUAAUCUGCCCCCCAGUUGGGAAUAACAGUUGGAAACGACUGCUAAUACCGAAUGUGGCUUAGGUUCCGCAUGGGACUUUGGCUAAAGAUUUAUCGCUGAGGGAUGAGCUCGCGUCCCAUUAGGUAGUUGGUGAGGUAACGGCUCACCAAGCCGACGAUGGGUAGCUGGUCUGAGAGGAUGGUCAGCCACACUGGGACUGUGACACUGCCCAGACUCCUACGGGAGGCUGCAGUCGAGAAUCUUGGGCAAUGCGCGAAAGCGUGACCCAGCAAUGCCGCGUGUAUGAUGAAGGCCCUCGGGUCGUAAAAUACUGUCUCCCGUGACGAAAUUUGACGGUAGCGGGGAAGGAAGCCACGGCUAACUACGUGCCAGCAGCCGCGGUAAUACGUAGGUGGCGAGCGUUGUUCGGAUUUAUUGGGCGUAAAGGGUCUGUAGGAGGUUUGUUAAAUACGGGGUGAAAUCCGGAAGCUCAACUUCCGAAUUGCCUUGUAGACUGACGGACUGGAGUACCGGAGAGGUAAGCGGAAUACCAGGUGUAGCGGUGGAAUGCGUAGAUAUCUGGUAGAACACCAAAAGCGAAGGCAGCUUACUGGACGGAAACUGACUCUGAAAGACGAAAGCAUGGGGAGCAAACAGGAUUAGAUACCCUGGUAGUCCAUGCCGUAAACGUUGUCAACUUGAUGUGGGGGGAUUUAGUCCUCCCCGUAUCGAAGCUAACGCGAUAAGUUGACCGCCUGGGGACUACGGCCGCAAGGCUAAAACUCAAAGGAAUUGACGGGGGCCCGCACAAGCGGUGUAGCAUGUGGCUUAAUUCGAGGCAACGCGAAGAACCUUACCUGGUCUUGAAAUAUAUCGGAUCG
This 883-nucleotide ribosomal RNA is filed under the name uncultured bacterium. RNAcentral's name for it is "bacterial SSU rRNA". It matches the Rfam family "Bacterial small subunit ribosomal RNA", at positions 99 to 998 of the family's 1533-position model. The record is from RNAcentral.